Molecule: ribosomal RNA, 492 nt
Filed under: uncultured bacterium
Lineage: Bacteria
Description: partial 16S ribosomal RNA
Rfam family: Bacterial small subunit ribosomal RNA
Source: RNAcentral
AGUGAACGCUGGCGGUAGGCCUAACACAUGCAAGUCGAACGGCAGCACAGUAAGAGCUUGCUCUUACGGGUGGCGAGUGGCGGACGGGUGAGGAAUACAUCGGAAUCUACUUUUUCGUGGGGGAUAACGUAGGGAAACUUACGCUAAUACCGCAUACGACCUACGGGUGAAAGCAGGGGAUCUUCGGACCUUGCGCGAUUGAAUGAGCCGAUGUCGGAUUAGCUAGUUGGCGGGGUAAAGGCCCACCAAGGCGACGAUCCGUAGCUGGUCUGAGAGGAUGCUCAGCCACACUGGAACUGAGACACGGUCCAGACUCCUACGGGAGGCAGCAGUGGGGAAUAUUGGACAAUGGGCGCAAGCCUGAUCCAGCCAUACCGCGUGGGUGAAGAAGGCCUUCGGGUUGUAAAGCCCCUUUGUUGGGAAAGAAAAGCAGCAGGUUAAUACCCCGCUGUUCUGACGGUACCCAAAGAAUAAGCACCGGCUAACUUCGUG